CGGGUGAGUAACGCGUGAGUAACCUGCCUUUCAGAGGGGGAUAACGUUCUGAAAAGAAACGCUAAUACCGCAUAAGAUUGUAGUUUCGCAUGGAGCAGCAAUCAAAGGAGCAAUCCGCUGAAAGAUGGACUCGCGUCCGAUUAGAUAGUUGGCGGGGUAACGGCCCACCAAGUCGACGAUCGGUAGCCGGACUGAGAGGUUGAUCGGCCACAUUGGGACUGAGACACGGCCCAG
RNAcentral lists this ribosomal RNA (234 nucleotides) under uncultured bacterium. Its description in RNAcentral is "partial 16S ribosomal RNA". It matches the Rfam family "Bacterial small subunit ribosomal RNA", at positions 103 to 334 of the family's 1533-position model. The record is from RNAcentral.